AGUUGAUCCUGGCUCACGAUGAACGCUGGCGGCGUGCCUAACACAUGCAAGUCGAGCGAGAAGCUACCUAUGAUCCUUCGGGAGAUUAGACUAGUGGACAGCGGCGGACGGGUGAGUAACGCGUAAAUAACCUGCCAUACACACAAGGAUAGCCAUCGGAAACGGUGAUUAAUACUUGAUGAAGCUACAUAUUCGCAUGAAUGAGUAGUUAAAGAAUUUUGGUGUAUGAUGGAUUUGCGUUUGAUUAGCUAGUUGGUAAGGUAAAGGCUUACCAAGGCAAUGAUCAAUAGCCGGCCUGAGAGGGUGAACGGCCACACUGGAACUGAGACACGGUCCAGACUCCUACGGGAGGCAGCAGUGGGGAAUAUUGCACAAUGGAGGGAACUCUGAUGCAGCAACGCCGCGUGAACGAAGAAGGCUUUCGAGUCGUAAAGUUCUGUUAUAGGGGAAGAAGAAGUGACGGUACCCUAUGAGAAAGCCACGGCUAAUUACGUGCCAGCAGCCGCGGUAAUACGUAAGUGGCAAGCGUUAUCCGGAAUUACUGGGCAUAAAGCGUUCGUAGGCGGUUAAACAAGCCAAUAGUGAAAUCCACCAGCCUAACUGGUGUCAGCUAAUGGAACUGUAUAACUUGAGUACAGGAGAGGAAAGUGGAAUUCCUAGUGUAGUAGUGAAAUGCGUAGAUCUUAGGAAGAACAUCAGUAGCGAAGGCGACUUUCUGGACCUGCUAACCUGCACGCCUGAGGAACGAACGCGUGGGGAGCGAAC
RNAcentral lists this ribosomal RNA (765 nucleotides) under uncultured organism. Its description in RNAcentral is "bacterial SSU rRNA". It matches the Rfam family "Bacterial small subunit ribosomal RNA", at positions 10 to 773 of the family's 1533-position model. The record is from RNAcentral.